This 86-nucleotide transfer RNA is filed under the name Pantoea sp. Edef. Its description in RNAcentral is "tRNA-Leu". It matches the Rfam family "tRNA". From Rfam's summary of the family: Transfer RNA (tRNA) molecules are approximately 80 nucleotides in length. The record is from RNAcentral. Lineage: Bacteria; Pseudomonadati; Pseudomonadota; Gammaproteobacteria; Enterobacterales; Erwiniaceae.
GCCGAAGUGGCGAAACAGGUAUACGCAGUUGAUUCAAAAUUAACCGCACUAGUUAGUGCUUGCCGGUUCGAUUCCGGCCUUCGGCA